UAGGGAAUCUUCGGCAAUGGGGGGAACCCUGACCGAGCAACGCCGCGUGAGUGAAGAAGGUUUUCGGAUCGUAAAGCUCUGUUGUUAAGGAAGAACGAGUGUGAGAAUGGAAAGUUCAUGCUGUGACGGUACUUAACCAGAAAGGGACGGCUAACUACGUGCCAGCAGCCGCGGUAAUACGUGGGUCCCGAGCGUUGUCCGGAUUUAUUGGGCGUAAAGCGAGCGCAGGCGGUUAGAAAAGUCUGAAGUGAAAGGCAGUGGCUCAACCAUUGUAGGCUUUGGAAACUGUUUAACUUGAGUGCAGAAGGGGAGAGUGGAAUUCCAUGUGUAGCGGUGAAAUGCGUAGAUAUAUGGAGGAACACCGGUGGCGAAAGCGGCUCUCUGGUCUGUAACUGACGCUGAGGCUCGAAAGCGUGGGGAGCGAACAGG
This 429-nucleotide ribosomal RNA is filed under the name Bacteroidota bacterium. RNAcentral's name for it is "Bacteroidetes bacterium partial 16S ribosomal RNA". It matches the Rfam family "Bacterial small subunit ribosomal RNA", at positions 355 to 776 of the family's 1533-position model. The record is from RNAcentral. Lineage: Bacteria; Pseudomonadati; Bacteroidota. RNAcentral also lists the same sequence under 1 other name.